GGGCCCGCACAAGCGGUGGAGUAUGUGGUUUAAUUCGAUGCAACGCGAAGAACCUUACCAGGGUUUGACAUCCUGCGAAUCUCUUGGAAACGAGAGAGUGCCUUCGGGAACGCAGUGACAGGUUGGUGCAUGGCUGUCGUCAGCUCGUGUCGUGAGAUGUUGGGUUAAGUCCCGCAACGAGCGCAACCCACGUCUUUGAGUUGCCAGCCAUUAGUUGGGCACUCUGAAAGAACUGCCAGUGAUAAGCUGGAGGAAGGUGGGGAUGACGUCAAGUCCUCAUGGCCCUUACGUGUUGGGCUACACACGGUGCUACAAUGGUAUCUACAACAGGAAGCAAGACUGCGAAGUUAAG
This 352-nucleotide ribosomal RNA is filed under the name uncultured bacterium. RNAcentral describes it as "bacterial SSU rRNA". It matches the Rfam family "Bacterial small subunit ribosomal RNA", at positions 917 to 1267 of the family's 1533-position model. The record is from RNAcentral.